UAACCAACGAGGCGGAAGUUUGUUUAGUCUGAAAUAAUCAGACACAGAUCUGAAGAGCAAUUGUUGAUAUCGUUGCUACGGUAACUGCAGCUGGCGUUUACUGACGAGUGGAAUGACUGAAGGUUGCAUAUACCUCUAUUGCUUACCAUUUUUAUGAAAACAUUGUUUUUAAUUGUUUAUUUCAUGGGCGAACUUGUUGAGAUUCGCAGACAGCAGAUGAGGAAUAAAUUGCUGAUCGGCGGCCCUUGUACGGAGGUUGUCACACACAGCCAACGAAACCACAUGGGCAACAUGGAAGAGCAAUUGCCAAAGCUUUUGGGCCUUUGCCUGGAUUUCAUCACACAGCAGCAAUAGGUCUCUAGGACUCUGGUUAGGUAGCCUGUAUACACUUUAUUU
Engraulis encrasicolus (European anchovy) is the source of this 396-nucleotide long non-coding RNA. RefSeq lists it as uncharacterized. The transcript has 3 exons. NCBI's taxonomy places the organism in Eukaryota, Metazoa, Chordata, Actinopteri, Clupeiformes, Engraulidae. The record is from RefSeq and is a predicted model, not a curated record.